This 2225-nucleotide long non-coding RNA is filed under the name Physcomitrium patens. Its description in RNAcentral is "long non-coding RNA (PPAT_LNC012326)". Lineage: Eukaryota; Viridiplantae; Streptophyta; Bryopsida; Funariales; Funariaceae. The record is from RNAcentral.
GGAAUCGUAUAUGACGACCGUUCGUAUCUCAUUCGGCACAUUAAUGUAUGUAGAAUUUCGGUGUACAUCUCCGUAUGUGUAUACACUCCACGAGUCCAUGUGAUGAGAGAGUGCCCACCAACCCUCAUCACCUGGCUGAAGUAUGAAAUUCAUCCACAUACAUGGCUGAAAAACAAAACAAAACAAAACAAACAGCCGCUGUGGUGUAGCUUUUGUUGUGGCCUUGCUCAUCUUACUCCUUUUGUAUUUUUAUACGUAAAUGAGAUGUAACAGUGGUAAAGAGGCUCCAUACCUAUGGAUGCAGCCAUUGGGUAUCAUGCUCUGUGAGUGCUAUAGGGUGGGCAUGUUAUUUUGUGCUAUAUAUAUAAUGUUAUGAAGGAUGAUUUUUCUCAGUUCCUGGAUAAAAACAAUAGAUGUAGGGAUGUCUGAGUGAGUGGGUUAAUACUGUCAUACAAUGCAGCAGCAGCCCAUAUUAAGUGCGUGUUUUCAAUGAAUGCAGGGAUUCCAUGUGGGCUGCUCUUCAGAGCCCCUCCUGUGACAGCAUUUGGCAUUGUAGUAGUUUGGCAUUGGUGAAGCCUUGCUCCCCUACUGUGUUGAAUGGAAACUGGGUCUUCUUCUACAUCACUAGAGAAAGCAUUAUCUAUAUUUAUAUAUAUAAAUAUUUAUUUAUUUAUUUAUUUAUACAUAUAUAUAUAUAUGUGUGUGUGUGUGUUCAUGUCGUUUUGUUUUACUUUGUUGAUUGCUAGUUGUGUUUUAAAUUUUCCGACAAUUUAAAGCUUCAAAAACAAAGCUCAACGGGUAAUAAAUAAUAAUUUAUAUAUUUGCUCUUGUCUUUUCUACAAGGAUACUGCGUAAAGCUUUUGCAUUGAUGUAAAAGAUAUUUGGAAGGUCUUCCAAUUGAUAUGAUUCUGGAAAAUCAAAAGUGUAACAGUGAUUUAGAAUAAUAAAUGAGUGAAUAAUUAAAUUCCUCCAGAUAGUUUCCUGUUCAGUUUUUUCUGAGGAAACACAUCAACAGUUUUCUUCAUAUAAUAUUUGACAUUGCUCUCGCUUUCAAUACAUGCCACUAACUUCAUCAAUAAUCCAAACGUUUGACAAGUGUGUGGACAGGAAUUAAAUCUGGUCAAGAGAUUUAUCAAAAAUAUAUAUACUGUAAAAUAGGUUUGUUGUCAGUGUUUGACGUUCCGGAUUUACUCGUGAAAUGAAACGAUGUUGAUUUUUUUUGUAUUUGGAUAAUAAAUAAGCAAAUAAAAUCCACAUGUGGGUAAUGAAGGUCUGGGCCCACCGGAUUGUUUGACAGAACUCAAAGUUUAUUGUUACAGAUGUUUAUUUUCCAAAGGGGCUUUAAAGCCAAUGUGAACAGCCAGCUGUAAGGAAUGGUUUCAUCCACAUCACUAAGGUUCAAUUCAUUCUUUGUGUUACAAAUAAAUAAAUUAAAUGUGUAGAUUUUUUCUUGAAUACAAAAAAUAAUGAAACAUAUACAGAGUGCAAGUAAGACCUGACAGGAAAGAGUGAACUCAAAGCAUGUGAUACUUCUAGGUCUUCUUUCAAUUUCAUAUCAUGGAAAAAGAAAAAGAAAAACAAACAAACAAUCAAGCAAAGUACACCAAAAGAAACCAACAUAAUGGAGAAAAGAUAAAUUUGAAAAUAUCAAUCAUUAAUAUUUUCUUUUUCUCUUUUUUAUCUGUUCCUUUGGAGGGUGCUUCAAUUUCAAUUUUCUUUUUUUCCCAAAUUCUAUAAAAAUUAAGAUGUUGUAAUGGUUUUGAAACAGAAAAUGUAAUAAUUAAUUUUCUUUUUUUCAAAAAUAGAAACAUGACAUCAGGUAAAAUGAAAUAGGUAGACCUUUCUACUCCUUCAUUUGUACUUUGUGAGACAGCCAUUAACCACAUGGAAAAAAAAUUAUAUAUGUAUGUAUAUAUACUAUAAAAAAAGAAGAAAAAAAGAAAGAAAAAAAGAAGACAUAUUUAAGUUUUCUCAUUUGACAAACUUUAAAAACACGUAUGCAUGUGUUGAACCUUAGUAUGAUUUAACACCAUGAACAAUUCACCAUUUUGAAUACAUCAAAAGGGGGCCUGGGCAUCAUGGAGUGAAGAAGGGAGGGGACAACAGGUGGGGUAUAUCCAUUGUAUAUCCAUUGAUUUUAUUAUUUGCAUGGACAAUGGCUACCUUGAAGUUGAUGCAUCACUCAUUUUCAAAGGUUGUGUAUGUCCACUUUGACAUCACCAAAG